GCAAGAAGAAGAAGAUGCCUCACACUCCUGCUGCUGUGAAGCGCAUUCACAAGGGUUCUAACAGUUAGGACACUGCGUGAAUCAGCGAUUUUGUUACCAUUGCCAUGCAUUAUACGACCGACAAACUGCAACGGUUGGAGUUAAAAAUCAUCAUUUGUGUUCUACUGAAGAAACAAAGUCACCUACAUCUUGGAUGCCCUACGGGUGCCCUAGGGAUGUGCGACGUGAGAAAAGGGGAAGUACAGUGAGCUGGAACAGGCCUGGCCAGGAAGACACAUCACCGUCUGUUUGCGUUUAAAGCGCAUGAAAGGAGAGCUGGGAAUUCGCAAAUCUUAGUAAGAUAAAUUUAGCCGACUCAGCAAAUACAGCAAGGCCAAACAGUGGUGCGGAGAACGAGGGAGCGAUUGCAUUUAUGACUAAUAAUAGCUUGUCCAUUGCCUUGAAAUAUGGCAGCAUGUUCCAAGUCAGUGUCGGGGGAACGAGUAACCCACCGGUCCUUGAACUGUAUUGGGCAGUGUUGAGCUGUGCUGAAUGAAGCUGUAAUUUGCUCAGCUGCAGUCAAGCUUACAUAAUCACUAUAUGAUGCCUGCCGAAGUGCCUUCUAAAAUUAUAGUGAUAAGAGAGAUGAGU
Cyprinus carpio (common carp) is the source of this 630-nucleotide long non-coding RNA. RefSeq lists it as uncharacterized. The record is from RefSeq and is a predicted model, not a curated record. Lineage: Eukaryota; Metazoa; Chordata; Actinopteri; Cypriniformes; Cyprinidae. The transcript has 3 exons.